GGCGGCAUGCCUAACACAUGCAAGUCGAACGAGAAAGUUCCUUCGGGAGCAAUUAAAGUGGCGCACGGGUGAGUAACGCGUAGACAAUCUGCCCUUCAGUCUGGGACAACUUUUCGAAAGGAGAGCUAAUACCGGAUAACAAUGCAUGACACAAGUUGUAUAUUUGAAAGCUUUAUGUGCUGAAGGAGGGGUCUGCGUCCCAUUAGCUAGUUGGUAAGGUAAAGGCUUACCAAGGCAACGAUGGGUAGCGGGUUUGAGAGGACGAUCCGCCACACUGGAACUGAGACACGGUCCAGACUCCUACGGGAGGCAGCAGUGGGGAAUAUUGCACAAUGGAGGAAACUCUGAUGCAGCAAUGCCGCGUGAGUGAAGAAGGCCCUUGGGUCGUAAAGCUCUUUUAUGGGGGAAGAUGAUGACGGUACCCCAAGAAUAAGCACCGGCUAACUAUGUGCCAGCAGCCGCGGUAAUACAUAGGGUGCGAGCGUUGUUCGGAAUUACUGGGCGUAAAGGGCGCGCAGGCGGAAUAGUAAGUCGGAGGUGAAAGCCCGGGGCUCAACCCCGGAGGGUCUUUCGAAACUGCUAAUCUAGAGAGGGUCAGGGGCCGGCAGAAUUCCUGGUGUAGAGGUGAAAUUCGUAGAUAUCAGGAGGAAUACCGGUGGCGAAGGCGGCUGGCUGGGGCCACUCUGACGCUGAGGCGCGAAAGCGUGGGGAGCAAACAGGAUUAGAUACCCUGGUAGUCCACGCCGUAAACGAUGAGCACUGGACGUCCGGAGGGUUCGACCCUUCUGGGUGUCUCAGCUAACGCAUUAAGUGCUCCGCCUGGGGAGUACGGUCGCAAGACUAAACCUCAUAAGGAAAUUGCGC
RNAcentral lists this ribosomal RNA (864 nucleotides) under delta proteobacterium SCGC AAA007-M04. RNAcentral's name for it is "SSU rRNA". It matches the Rfam family "Bacterial small subunit ribosomal RNA", at positions 38 to 916 of the family's 1533-position model. Lineage: Bacteria; Deltaproteobacteria. The record is from RNAcentral.